This 160-nucleotide ribosomal RNA is filed under the name Siloxerus multiflorus. RNAcentral's name for it is "5.8S ribosomal RNA". It matches the Rfam family "5.8S ribosomal RNA". Rfam says of the family: 5.8S ribosomal RNA (5.8S rRNA) is a component of the large subunit of the eukaryotic ribosome. It is transcribed by RNA polymerase I as part of the 45S precursor that also contains 18S and 28S rRNA. The record is from RNAcentral. Lineage: Eukaryota; Viridiplantae; Streptophyta; Magnoliopsida; Asterales; Asteraceae.
ACGACUCUCGGCAACGGAUAUCUCGGCUCACGCAUCGAUGAAGAACGUAGCAAAAUGCGAUACUUGGUGUGAAUUGCAGAAUCCCGUGAACCAUCGAGUUUUUGAACGCAAGUUGCGCCCGAAACCAUUUGGUUGAGGGCACGUCUGCCUGGGCGUCACA